UAUUUAUUAGAUAAAAGACCAAUGCCCUUCGGGGCUCCUUGGUGAAUCAUAAUAACUUAACGAAUCGCAUGGCCUUGCGCCGGCGAUGGUUCAUUCAAAUUUCUGCCCUAUCAACUUUCGAUGGKAGGAUAGUGGCCUACCAUGGUAUCAACGGGUAACGGGGAAUUAGGGUUCGACUCCGGAGAGGGAGCCUGAGAAACGGCUACCACAUCCAAGGAAGGCAGCAGGCGCGCAAAUUACCCAAUCCCGACACGGGGAGGUAGUGACAAUAAAUACUGAUACAGGGCUCUUUUGGGUCUUGUAAUUGGAAUGAGUACAAUUUAAAUCCCUUAACGAGGAACAAUUGGAGGGCAAGUCUGGUGCCAGCAACCGCGGUAAUUCCAGCUCCAAUAGCGUAUAUUAAAGUUGUUGCAGUUAAAAAGCUCGUAGUUGAACCUUGGGCCUGGCUGGCCGGUCCGCCUCACCGCGUGUACUGGUCCGGCCGGGCCUUUCCUUCUGGGGAACCUCAUGCCCUUCACUGGGCGUGUUGGGGAACCAGGACUUUUACUUUGAAAAAAUUAGAGUGUUCAAAGCAGG
This 576-nucleotide ribosomal RNA is filed under the name uncultured eukaryote. RNAcentral describes it as "SSU rRNA". It matches the Rfam family "Eukaryotic small subunit ribosomal RNA", at positions 205 to 795 of the family's 1831-position model. The record is from RNAcentral.